Molecule: ribosomal RNA, 400 nt
Filed under: uncultured bacterium
Lineage: Bacteria
Description: bacterial SSU rRNA
Rfam family: Bacterial small subunit ribosomal RNA
Source: RNAcentral
UGGGGAAUUUUGGACAAUGGGCGCAAGCCUGAUCCAGCAAUGCCGCGUGCAGGAAGAAGGCCUUCGGGUUGUAAACUGCUUUUGUACGGAACGAAAAGGUCCUGGCUAAUACCUGGGAUUUAUGACGGUACCGUAAGAAUAAGCACCGGCUAACUACGUGCCAGCAGCCGCGGUAAUACGUAGGGUGCGAGCGUUAAUCGGAAUUACUGGGCGUAAAGCGUGCGCAGGCGGUUAUGUAAGACAGUUGUGAAAUCCCCGGGCUUAACCUGGGAAUUGCAUCUGUGACUGCAUAGCUAGAGUGCGGCAGAGGGGGAUGGAAUUCCGCGUGUAGCAGUGAAAUGCGUAGAUAUGCGGAGGAACACCGAUGGCGAAGGCAAUCCCCUGGGCCUGCACUGACGCU